This 779-nucleotide long non-coding RNA is filed under the name Physcomitrium patens. RNAcentral's name for it is "long non-coding RNA (PPAT_LNC009217)". The record is from RNAcentral. Lineage: Eukaryota; Viridiplantae; Streptophyta; Bryopsida; Funariales; Funariaceae.
UAACUGAAUCGCAGAUCUGUAACUGACCGCGGAAUUACGAAAGGAACCCACAAUUGCCAAAGGAAGAUUUUUCUCCUUUUCCUCAACUUUUCUAUACAUAUCUACAUAAACAUGUAUGUAUCUAUACUCAUUCAUUAUGGGGAUAGGUUCUCGAAAUGGAUUUGGCUGUUGGUUUUGUGCCAUCUGUCAGCCGAAUCUGCGUGAUGCGGGUAUUAAAAGCAAUAUGCUUUCGGCUCUGUAUGAAAGUUCCUGGUACCCAUAAAAUAAUCAACCAAAUUCCCAAGCAGGGAUUCCAUUUGAAAUGAUGAGCAACUCCAUGCAAAUCUUGUGGGCGGAAGGAUAUGUGGUAUUGGAUGAACAUUAGAAUUUCUUUUCUUCCCUACCCUACUUAACAAAACUAAUAGACAGAAAUCUCUUUGAUAUCUUAACCUUUCCUGCCACUGUAAAAAAAUUAAUUUUACUCUCAUUUUUCCCAUCAAGGCAUAGGCAUGAUUUCAUGCAGAUGAUAUGAGUGAGAGUGGGAUGUUGUCAUAGGUUGUGUCACUUGUUGGUUGUAUCCAUCAUUCUUCUGGAAUGAAUUGGAGCAAUUGAAGGAUUAUUACUAAUAUACUGUAUUUGUGUGCCACUUUGCUCAAUCAUGUCAACAAAGUCCAAGUCAGUGAUUGGGGCUCAGACACUAUAAUGGGUUCAAAAAGCAUUGUUGGUGCACAACUGCCAGGUAGCAUAAAAAGAAAGCUUUCAAAACCCAACUUUAUAUAAUUAUCUGGAUUGGAUCCAUU